Long non-coding RNA from Psammomys obesus (fat sand rat), 1497 nucleotides. RefSeq lists it as uncharacterized. The transcript is spliced from 3 exons. The record is from RefSeq and is a predicted model, not a curated record. Lineage: Eukaryota; Metazoa; Chordata; Mammalia; Rodentia; Muridae.
GGCUCAUCCAGUGCUGGCUGCGCAGGCUGCCCAAGCUGAGCUGAGCUCAGAUCCCUAGCACGUGAGCCUGUAGUGUAAGAAUCCCAGCAUGUGGUACAUCCUGGUGUUCAGGAGGCAGAGGCAGGUGUCAGGACUCUUCGGACAGCACUAGGGUCAGUGAGAGCCUGUGACAGUCAGAUAUAGAGCCCGGUGGGGUGGCACAUGCCUAUAAUCCCAGCACUCUGAAAGCUCAAGCAGGAGAAUGGUGAGUUGGAAGCCAGCCCGGGCUACACUGAAAGACCCUGCCACACACGGCAUCUCUAAUCUCCACUUCAAACCGGCAAAAGACUCACCUCGAAGAUUCCCACCCACCCGUUAGGCGGACACUGUUGGUUUCCGGCCACCAUUUGUCUACCAGCACAGGCUCGCCUUUAACUGCAUCCCCUAACGAUGCCUUCCAAUGGAGUACCACAGUCUGGGCAUGGACAGAGCUUAUGGGAACCACUGCUCACACCUCUUCAUAGCCCACUUCACAGGGUCCCAGGAACAUUCUAGAAGAAUCCUGGCACAACCAUGGGCCUAGUGGGAGAAGCUUGGUUGGUGGCAGCGUGCUUUCCAAAACUACACAAAGCUGGGUGUGGUGGUGAGUUCCAGCACACCAGAAGUAGAGGCAGGAUAAGGAAUCCACAGUCAUUGUCAGCCAAGUGUUGAAUUCAAGGCCAGCCUGGGCUAAGUGAGACUACCCGAGUCCUGAGCUGCUACUUGGCACCUCCUCUUAGUCACCUGGGCUAACCUCACUCAGCCUCAUUUUAAUCUCUUCUGCGGUUCUCUAGGAAUGGGGAACAGGAGAUUGAAUCAGACUAAACCCAGGGCAUACACCCUCAGAAAAGAGACCUUUUCCCCAGUCUGGAUGGCGCCCUGGGACCUGAGGUGGGACUCCUCCUUCUAGCUCUAGAUAACCCCUAGAGUAUAAGCAGAGUGCCAGGGUCCCAAGGGAGGGCUGAGGUUGUGAAACAGACAAGUCCCCCAGAGACCAAUCAGCAAUAGAGCACAUACAUACUCCACAGCCACCGGCUGGCUUUCUCCUUCGGCUCUCCUGCCUUCCCCACCCACCCGACCCCAACCCACCCUACAUAAGCCCUCAAGUAAGGGCAGGGUAGAGUAGAAGGCAGGGAAGGCUUACAGAGACAGCCUUUCUCUCUUCUGGGGUGGUGGCACAGAGGGUCUCAUGUAGCCCAGGCUGGCCUUGUGCAGAUUGUAGCAGAGAAGAACUAUGAACUUCUGACCUCCACCCCCCCAACUCCUCUCAAGUGCUGGGAUUUCUGUCUCACCCAGUGUGUGCAUUGCCGCCCAUUCUGCUGUGAGGAAUUCAAAACUCAGGAUGAUUAACCUGCCUGAAGACACACAGCUAUAAACAGAAAAGCAGGCGUUAGGCGCCAUGACUAUGAGCUUAUCAUGGACGGGGUCACUCACUACUGGCUUUGUGCCACUCGGCAGCUUGAAGAUGGCCUGAUGACA